CGAAGCUAUACAAGAAAUUGAUGGCGAGAGGGUUUUUCCUUUUAGUCAGUGAGAGAUAGUGUGCAAGUCUAUAAAGUAAACGGAGAGACAAAACUCGUGCUGCGUUGACUAUUACAGGACGUGUUUUGAUUAUAUUACACCGAUUCAGGUCAGUUUGGCUACUGUUUCCUCUACUGAUGCUUUGUUCGAUGCUUUGCAUGGCCACUUUACACAACAUUCUGUCCAAGGAACAAUCAAGAUAAACUUUUAGAAUGUUUUUAUAUGGCUUGAUUCCUCGUUUGUGUGAGCAGCUAUAAAAUUGUGAGAACUAUAAAGUAGCAAAUAUAUUCCUGAGCAUAUUUGAUCGGAUUUUUAUAAAACACUACACCAGCAAAAUGUCGGCAUUGUUGGAAAAUGCUGUGAUUUUUCGUGAAGUUCAACCCUCGAACUCUGCACAAAAACUGUACGGAAAAUAUAGUUAAACUUUAUUUAACAGUCGGAGCAUUUUCCUACACCAGAGACUUUAUUACUAUUAAAGAUGCGGCAUGUACAGUCCAAUCUGUGCAUGUGCACACAGAGUCCCCUUUUUAUUUACAAACAGUUUAGUUAGGUUUUUAUUUCAUUUUAUGUUCUUGCAAAGCUUGAUUGUUGUCUCUUGAUAAUUUCUAGAAUCAUGAAAAUAUAACUAGUUGUGGAAUAAAAUUCAAUAUUUUGGAUACCGAAAUGUAAACAGAGCCUUUGUUUACAUACGGACUGUACCGCAUCUUUAAAGUAUAGCAUUAUUAAAUUAAUGAAAGGCAAUCAAAGAAAAGGCAUUGAGUGAUUGAGAAAGGGGAUGCGAUAACAUAUAAAACUUGAUAAACUUCUUAAUUGUUAAUGAUUGUCAGAAGUUCAGAACACUGUUUCCAUAAUUCAAUAAUUUUAUCAUAUAUUAUACAAUAAUAUUGUAUAAUUAAUUAAACCUUAUUGGCUGGUCGAAAUAGAAGUGAUUUGAUUAUGGUAAUCUGCCACCAUUCAGUACAGCCCUGCCCCACAGUAGGCGGAUCACACCAAACUAAGGGGACGAUUACAUGGAGCACUUUUAACCACAGGUUUGAACUCGACCAUGUUUACAUAACUGGGUUGAAUAUUUUGCGAUUACAUGGACAAUCUCAACCCCAGGGUUGAAAUGCUAUACAUUCCCGGAAGUGAAAACAAAAACCAGCCUCAUCAAAUACUUGAGUAACUCAUGAAUAAUUUCAGCCCUGGGUUGAAACGAUUACAUGAUAAAAUUUUCAACCCAAGGCGAAGUCCAACCUGGGGUUGAAAUUUAACUCUGCUAGCUGAAGCGGGGUUGAACUUGGCCCUGAAUUGAAAAUUUUGAAAUCAUGCAUUUGAUUUUGAUAGCAUUUUGUAUUACAGACAAGGGCGAGGGUUCAGCCCAGGCCUCGUAGGUCCCAACUGUAGGCCUGUCAACCCCAGGGUUGAAAAUGCUCCAUGUAAUCAGCCCCUAAUUAACCCAUUAAAACUUUGAUGUACCCUGAUUUGACUUUAUUUCUGUUGAAUACCAGAUAAUAUAAUAUCAUGGCCUUUAAUUCACCAAUCUUGGUAUGAAAAUCGAGUGACCACAAAAAAUAUUUACAUGCA
Paramuricea clavata is the source of this 1605-nucleotide non-coding RNA. NCBI's taxonomy places the organism in Eukaryota, Metazoa, Cnidaria, Anthozoa, Malacalcyonacea, Plexauridae. The record is from the annotation of a GenBank genome assembly.